AGUCUUAUGCUUGUCUCAAAGAUUACGCCAUGCAUGUGCAAGCACCGUCCCGGACCACCGGGGCGUAGCUGCGGAUGGCUCAUUAAAUCAGCUAUUAUUCCUUAGAUCGUACCGACCGUUGUGGAUAUCUGUAGUAAUUCUAGAGCUAAUACAUGCACGCAAGCACCGAUCCUCCGUGAGAAGUGCGCUUUUAUUAGAACAAGACCGGCGGUGAGGAGUAACUACCGUAGCCCCGUCGUGUUGACUCUGGAUAACUUAGCCGAUCGCACGGCCCUGGACGCCGGCGACGCAUCUUUCAAAUGUCUGACCCAUCAGCUGGUUGGCCGGGUAGUGGCCGGCAAAGGAGGUGACGGGUAACAGAGAAUCAGGGUUCGAUUCUGGAGAGGGAGCCUGAGAAACGGCUACCACGUCCAAGGAAGGCAGCAGGCGCGCAAAUUACCCACUCCCGACUCGGGGAGGUAGUGACGAAAAAUAACGAUAGACGACUCAGUCGAGGCUGUCUAAUCGGAAUGAGUAUAGUCUAAAGCCUUAACACGAGGAGCUAGUAGAGGGCAAGUCUGGUGCCAGCAGCCGCGGUAACUCCAGCUCUACAGGCGUAAACGUGAGUUGUUGYAGUUAAAACGCUCGUCGUUGGAUUUGAACCUAGGCCGCGGCCGGUACGGGGCAGAGUUUCCCCGCUAUCGCGGCGGUCGGUCACAGGCGAGUUUCACACACAGCGGAUCCCCUUGGUUGGGCGUCCGCGGGCUCGCGUACGUUACCUUGAACAAAUGAGGGUGUUCAUGGCAGGCUAGCACACGCCUGGAUAGUCUAGCAUGGAAUAACAGAACUCGACUCCGGUCUUUUUCUGGCUGGUCUCUAGGACUCGGAGGGAUGAUCAAUAAGGACGGCCGGAGGCGAUAGUACUCCUGCGUUAGAGGUGAAAUUCUUGGAUCGCAGGAUGACUGACCGCAGCGAAAGCAUUCGCCUAGCACGWCCUCAUUAAUCAAGAACGGAAAGUUAGAGGAUCGAAGACGAUCAGAUACCGUCCUAGUUCUGACCAUAAACGAUGCCGACAGGCGAUCGGUCGUAAGUACUUUGCAAACCCUUACACAUGACACGGCCGGCAGCCCUCGGGAAACCAAAGUCUUUGGGUUCCGGGGGUAGUAUGGUUGCAAAGCUGAAACUUAAAGGAAUUGACGGAAGGGCACCACCAGGAGUGGAGCUUGCGGCUUAAUUUGACUCAACACGGGGAACCUCACCUGGGCCGGACACUGCAAGGAUUGACAGAUUGAGAGCUCUUUCUUGAUUCGGUGGGUGGUGGUGCAUGGCCGUUCUUAGUUCGUGGAGCGAUCUGUCAGGUUAAUUCCGAUAACGAACGAGACUCUAGCCUACUAACUAGCGCAGGCGGUGUAAUGAGCCGUCGCAAUCACGUUGACACUUCUUAGAGGGACCAGCGGUGUGGCAACCGCGCGAGAUUGAGCAAUAACAGGUCUGUGAUGCCCUUAGAUGUCCAGGGCCGCACGCGCGCUACACUGAAAGAGACACCGAGGCAGGCGGGUACAGCUCCGGAAGGGGCUUGUGUUAAACUCCCAACCUCUAUCGUGCUUGGGAUUAGGGUCUGAAACUGUUGCCUAUGAACGAGGAAUUCCUAGUAAAUGUGAGUCAUCAGCUUGCGUUGAUUACGUCCCUGCCCUUUGUACACACCGCCCGUCGCUACCACCGAGCUUGCGUUUUAGUGAGACUGUUGGAGGCGUCCUGGUCACCGGCGUGGAGGUGAGAGACGGUGAGUCGUACACUCCGGUGGACGGCCCGACUUUCCCGACACGGGGCCGGCGUCAAGUGGUGCGAGCAA
This 1831-nucleotide ribosomal RNA is filed under the name Eurysyllis tuberculata. Its description in RNAcentral is "SSU rRNA". It matches the Rfam family "Eukaryotic small subunit ribosomal RNA". The record is from RNAcentral. Lineage: Eukaryota; Metazoa; Annelida; Polychaeta; Phyllodocida; Syllidae.